This is a long non-coding RNA of Lonchura striata (white-rumped munia), 472 nucleotides long. RefSeq lists it as uncharacterized. Lineage: Eukaryota; Metazoa; Chordata; Aves; Passeriformes; Estrildidae. The record is from RefSeq and is a predicted model, not a curated record.
AGCAGAGGGAAGCCACCCCCACCGGGGAAGGAACCUCAGCCUCCCCUCGGGCAGUUCCCACCUCCCCCGCGGGGUUCUGUGCAUCCCCUUCCCCAUGGGAACCCCUCCCUAGGCAGCACCGUGGAGAUGGGCCUGGCUGGAUUAAAUCAUCCCAAUCAAAUAAUUUUGGAUUCUAUUUGACUCUGGAAGGGGCAUCAUCCCCUCCUGGCUGGCAGCAUUCCGGCUGCAGGGAUGUUUCCCGCUGGGAUUAUCAGAUAUCCUGAUCAAAUGGCACAGCAGAGGGAUCGUGUGAGACGAGCAGGGAGCUCCGGUCAGGAACGUUCCCCUUGUUCCUGUAGGAACACGAGAGGCACCAGCCAGAGGUUGAAACAACUCCCCCCCAGGAACCAGCCCUGGACACAAAAGCUUUUCAGUUAUCAUCAGCAUUUUGUAAGAUUAUAUUAAAAUAAACCUUCAGGCUCCAUUUCCUGCU